This 87-nucleotide transfer RNA is filed under the name Parasphingopyxis marina. RNAcentral describes it as "tRNA-Leu". It matches the Rfam family "tRNA". From Rfam's summary of the family: Transfer RNA (tRNA) molecules are approximately 80 nucleotides in length. Their secondary structure includes four short double-helical elements and three loops (D, anti-codon, and T loops). The record is from RNAcentral. Lineage: Bacteria; Pseudomonadati; Pseudomonadota; Alphaproteobacteria; Sphingomonadales; Parasphingopyxidaceae.
GCGGACGUGGCGGAACUGGUAGACGCUGCAGACUUAAAAUCUGUUUCCCGUAAGGGAGUGCGGGUUCGAUUCCCGCCGUCCGCACCA